CUCCGUCCUAAAGCCCUCUUUCUCAGCUUGCCACAAUAAAGUAGCAUGAGGUUUUAAGGCUUUGCUGGGUCACCGGCCAUCUCCUAUUAUUCUACACUUCACAACAACAACACACACACACACAAUCCAGCCCCCCCCCCCCGUUAAUCAGCACUGACCAGAGGCCCCUUUUGGAAACAAGAGGAGCAGAGUUGAAGAAAGACUCUCUCUCUCUCUCUCUCUCUCUCUCUCUCUCUCUCUCUCUCUCACACACACACACACACACACACACACACACACACCCUCAACAGGCCCUCCUGAAAGCAAGAUCUCCCAUUGGCACUUUGGACCAAAGUUUUCCACCCCCCUUUCCUUUUAUCAUAACAAAGCUUCCAACUCAGACCACAAGAGAACUGGACUUUUCUCCCCCUGUUUCUGGCCUUCUCAUUCUUUCUCUCUCUUCCCUUGGCUCUGAAGAUGAUGGAGACUUUGUUGCAAGUAAGGAUGCCUUUAGGUCAAAUGGCCCAGGCCUAGCUGGGAGCUGAGAUUGAUCCUGGAAGGGAAAGCUGCUUCCUGAGCAUCUACUUUGGAGAAAUAGAAGUGGAUUAACAGGCUUUAACUUCACCGUUUGAAAGGAAACAUGUGUCUUUGCACAGGGUAAAAGUAGCUCUUUGUCUCCAAAUGAUGAAGCAAACAACCAAAAGAGAAAUCACCCACCAAAGCAUACAGCAAGAAAUAUUUUGCAUAAAUACACACGUCUCCAGAGAGAAUGAAAGGAAAAGAUGUCUUAAAAAUUAUGGUGAUUUAAUUUUAUUUUGCCCAAGAAUGACAUUCUCCUGAGUAUUUGUGAAAAUGAAGAUGAAUAUGCAGGGAUCCAUUUGGUUGCUUUUGCGCCAGAUGGCCAGUUGCAGAAGCUGAACUAAGCUGAACUGAUUGAUUCAUUUUUGCCAUAUUGCACGCUGGCAUUUACCAGGGUUCACAUAAUUCAAGUACUAACAUUUUUGGUGCUUUUUCACUUCCUAAUUCACCCCCCCCUUAGUUCCUUAACCCAAAAGGAAAUAAGUAAUUUUCCCAAGUAAACUGUUUCUAUCUCCCCUUCCCCAUGUGUCAUAAUAGAGAUUUAAUAAUAGAAGAACUAAUGAAACAUGAUAAGAGACCAAAUACAAGAGACAAAGUUGCAUGUAGCAUGUUGUGACCAAGCCUUCUGCUAAAGAAGUUGAACUCAGGACCCCUGAAGAACUCGGUAGAAAUAAGGUCAAACUUAGGCUGAGAGUAAAAAUAAAAAUGUAAUUAAUAGAAAAAAUGUAUUCAGCUUUACUUUUACUUUUGAAACGUUAUGGCCAUGAUUCAGAUAACAGAAUUAUGGUGGCAUAAAUAGCAUAAUGCAUAACUUGGUUUUCUCUUACAUGCAGCUACCAUGCCAGAUGUGAGGGGAGCCUUCUCUGAGGUGGCUCCCAGAUUAUGGGAUGACCUCCCCUCUGAUGCACAUCUUGCAGCAACAUUGUCUGCUUUUCAACAAUUAGAAUUAAGAAACAGGGUGUCUCCGAGUGCACAGUCAGCCCAUAUGGUUCUUGUGCCAGAAUGCAUCUCAUUCUAUGAAUAAAGCUACUUUUGGUUUUCUCCCAAGCUUUCUUUAUUAGGGAAGCCUAAUUUAUAAAGAAAAUAUCUUAUCGUUCUUGCUGUUUUUCAACAAUUGGCAGCUGGAAAUCCUUGACAAGCUCUGCAGAUCAUCGGAUCUCCCAGUAGAUCUGGGUCUACCUUCUGCCUGCCCAUGCCUUAGGCAAGACAUUGCUGCUCAGCUACUGCCUCCCUGCCUCCCUUGCAAUACGUGGAGAACAGAGUUUAUUUGUUCAAGGUUAUUUGUAUGGAUUAUUAGAAUAAAAUGGAUGAAUUGCUUUGUAUACUCUAAAGUGAAAUGGUUUAAGGCUGAAGUGCAAAUGAACUUUAUCCAUUGGAAGCUUCCCAAUUCUAGGUUGGGGAUGAUGAAGCUAUGGGCCUCUGGGAGGUUGCUGGACUCCAGAUCCCAUCUGCUCUAACCAGUAUGGUCAAUGGUCAAUGACGAUGGGAGCUGCUACCUGACACGGUUUUCUCCAAGGACACCCAAGAACUCUAGAUUUGACAAUGCUGAGAAUUUUCCGCAGCAGAUAAUUUGUCUUUUCAUAGAACUGUAGUUUAUUUGGACUGAACAGUUAUUUAGACCCAGGGAAGAGCCAAUGCAGUUGAAACUAGUUUAGUUUAGCAAUAAGGAAAGAUUCAUUUCAGGGUUGGGGUUAAGCAUGAGGCUGGUUUCGUCACUACAUUGAACUAGCCCUGUGAAUCAGCCUGUCAAGCUCAUGAAAAUGUAGCAAUGUAUGUGUAUUCCUAACUUCCCUAAGAUGAGGAGAUUUUGUGAAGGUAUUUCAAGGCUAGAACUCAGGACUAACCAUUUACAGUACUGUGCCCAUUUGAAAUCCACAUUUAAGUUGAGAGGUAGAUAUUUACUAUGGUAAGUUAAGGGGAACCUCUCUGUCCAGAAGUGCACUUCUGAAUAUCAAAUGUUGUGGAUAACCAAUGGCAGUUCCUUCUGCUUUGCUUGCCUGUGAAAUUUCAGAGGCUGGAUUUCUGCUGGGGAAAAAUGUUAGAUAGGCCUUUGUCUGAUCUAGCAAGGUAAUCCUAACAUUCUUAAUGACUUAAUGACCAUAUUAAGCGCAUUUCACUCAAAAUAAGGAGGGGGGAAAUCCACAUGAUUGUAUUACAGUCCUAUGACCCUAAUGUUUGAUAAUAUCCUUUCACAGUUACAUUGCAUCUGACAAGCAACAUGCAAAUGAAUUGAUUGGUUCUGCUUGCACAAACAUAAUACCACUGGUAGCUACAUUGGUGUGAAAUGGUGGUGCGGUUUAAAGUUCUCUAUCUCUCUGUGUAUGUAGAAGAGAAAGAGAUAAGAAUCCCUCCCAUCUAUAUAACCCUCAAAACUUUAUUUCAUACAAACUGCAGUUUCUAGGUUGCCCAUUGGGGAAGUAGGAUUUAUAAAUACUCUAAAUAAAACCAGCAAGUAAGUGAUGCCAUCAGAUUAUAGCCAUACGUCCUUAUGCACUGAUGUGUGGAUAAAAGAGCUUCCUCAUCUUGAAACUCCUUUCACUUUCAUUUCAGUUGAUGAAGCGGAUUCAGAUGAAUGUUCCUUUGUGCUCUCUGAUCACAUUCAGAAAAAACCUCAUGUGUGCAUUAGAAACCAUGUGGUACUACAGAUGAGAGCAAUGAACUACAAUCCUAUACCCUCUUACAUGCACGUAGACUCGCUGAAACAAGGCACAGACAAAUGCCUCAGUUUGAAAGGGGAUUAAGUGGUUGAAGAAUUGUAGUCUAAAUGUGUGAUGGGCUGUUAUUUAAAGCUGCAGCAUCCUUGCUCCUGGAACAUAUAAUAUUAGUGGUUGAGAAAAUUGUGGUUGGGUUGUAAAAUAACUGCAGCUUCUUAGAGAGAUGGCAUUUAAAAACAAAUAAAUAGUAAUAUUUUUAUUGCUUUUGAAGAUGCCAUUAUAUAGACUUUCUAAACCUGACCUUCAGCAAAUGCAUUCAAGGAACUGAAUAUUUAACCAAACAAACCCAAACAAAAAGCAGAUGACCCAGAUAUAGAAAGUCUGACAGGGGAAAGUUCUUUCAUGUCCAGAAAUGUAGGGUCUGUUAAUAUAAGCAUCAACAUUUCUUAAGAAUUCCCUGUGCAUCUUUUCUACAGUCUAUAACCUACAUCAGUGGGUUAAACAGAACAGUCAGAAAUCCCAGACUAUAGGAUUGAAAGGGAUUAAAAAGAGUGAACCUACAGUACUUUUAUUGACCUAGGUCCUCACAUUAACCUGAUCUGAUCCUAUAAUUACUCUGAAUAGAAUAGGGCUUACAGUCCUCCUUAAUAACACCCCAUGCUUUUUAUUCUAUAAAGAGCUUUUCCAUUCAUGUGGCCCCUUCUUUUGAGAUAUACAGAUCUGUUGGUAAGAAAGAAUAUGUGUGUGGCUUUUCUGCCUCUCCAGGGGAGAAAACUACCUAAUGUGGUGUCUAGCAUGCUUGCCUGCACAUAUGGUACAAAUAUUACAUACAC
This is a long non-coding RNA of Podarcis raffonei (Aeolian wall lizard), 4045 nucleotides long. RefSeq lists it as uncharacterized. The transcript is spliced from 3 exons. The record is from RefSeq and is a predicted model, not a curated record. NCBI's taxonomy places the organism in Eukaryota, Metazoa, Chordata, Lepidosauria, Squamata, Lacertidae.